UACGUAGGGGGCUAGCGUUGUCCGGAAUCAUUGGGCGUAAAGAGCGUGUAGGCGGUCCGGUAAGUCAGCUGUGAAAGUCAAGGGCUCAACCCUUGAAAGCCGGUUGAUACUGUCGGGCUAGAGCCCGGAAGAGGCGAGUGGAAUUCCCGGUGUAGCGGUGAAAUGCGCAGAUAUCGGGAGGAACACCAAUGGCGAAGGCAGCUCGCUGGGACGGUACUGACGCUGAGACGCGAAAGCGUGGGGAGCAAACAGG
RNAcentral lists this ribosomal RNA (253 nucleotides) under uncultured bacterium. RNAcentral describes it as "partial 16S ribosomal RNA". It matches the Rfam family "Bacterial small subunit ribosomal RNA", at positions 524 to 776 of the family's 1533-position model. The record is from RNAcentral.